Molecule: unclassified non-coding RNA, 277 nt
Filed under: Pachyphloeus sp.
Lineage: Eukaryota; Fungi; Ascomycota; Pezizomycetes; Pezizales; Pezizaceae
Description: partial internal transcribed spacer region
Rfam family: Eukaryotic small subunit ribosomal RNA (bases 1-46)
Source: RNAcentral
AAGUCGUAACAAGGUUUCCGUAGGUGAACCUGCGGAAGGAUCAUUAUCAAAAGAUUUCAUUAUUUUUUGAAAAUAUUUUUCCAAUUUCCCGUGUGUAUUUUACUCCAUGUUGCUUCCACUUGGUAGGUAUUUAAAUAUACCCUUCAACCCACCAAAUACUUGGAGGAUUGAAGAAAUGCCGGUGGAUAGCCUUAAACCAAAAGAACUUUGUUGUAAAUAAUUAGUCUGAUAAAAUGAAAAUAAUAAAAAACUUUCAACAACGGAUCUCUAGGCUCUU